AGGGCAAUUUUUGAGAACUUGUUUUUCCUGGCUGUUCCAUGAAUAAGCACUUCCAUCUCUUCUCUCCAGUUUUCUCGGAAAUCUUGACUUUAUUGAGAGAAUGAUGAAUGCUGACAAAUAAUAUGAUGCUUUGAGAAGCAAAAAUUUCCUGGAAUUAAAGGAAUUUUCAAGUGUAAAUGGAAUACCACACUAACCCAUACACCAUGCAGCACAUUAUGAAAGCACUUGAGAAGGCAAAUGAAAUGAUGUUCAUUAUACAUAUGAAGCUAUGCAAAACACAUUUCCAUAGUCACCAUGUGAAAGAAGAAAAGAAGAAAAAAAAAGAAGAAAAGAAACCACCAAAGAAAAUACACAUAUUCAAAACCCCCAAGAAAAAGAAAGUGAAAAAAAUGUAUGCUUUAAUUUGCAUUCAGAAUUCAUCAGUCUCUUUCUGGAGAUGGAUAGCAGAGAGAACAAUUUCUUCCAACAGCCAUGAAGGUAA
Long non-coding RNA from Antechinus flavipes (yellow-footed antechinus), 481 nucleotides. RefSeq lists it as uncharacterized. The transcript has 3 exons. Lineage: Eukaryota; Metazoa; Chordata; Mammalia; Dasyuromorphia; Dasyuridae. The record is from RefSeq and is a predicted model, not a curated record.